This 46-nucleotide non-coding RNA is filed under the name Schistosoma curassoni. Lineage: Eukaryota; Metazoa; Platyhelminthes; Trematoda; Strigeidida; Schistosomatidae. The record is from RNAcentral.
AUCCAGUUGACGAGUCCCUGGAUAAGACGAUACGCGCGUCCUGGAU